AUAUUAACCAAAUUUAAGUUAAUUUAAGCAAUAUCGGUCCUUUCGUUCUAAGAUUUUAUAAAAUAUUGAAGAUAGGAAACCAACCCGGUCACGCCGGGUUGACCACCCAAAUCGUGGUAAG
This 121-nucleotide ribosomal RNA is filed under the name Agrilus pratensis. Its description in RNAcentral is "partial 16S ribosomal RNA". Lineage: Eukaryota; Metazoa; Arthropoda; Insecta; Coleoptera; Buprestidae. The record is from RNAcentral.